Molecule: ribosomal RNA, 426 nt
Filed under: uncultured prokaryote
Description: bacterial SSU rRNA
Rfam family: Bacterial small subunit ribosomal RNA
Source: RNAcentral
UGGGGAAUCUUCCGCAAUGGACGAAAGUCUGACGGAGCGACGCCGCGUGAGUGAUGAAGGCCCUUGGGUCGUAAAGCUCUGUCAUUGGGGACGAACGAUUACGUCAGGAAAUGGGCGUGAAGUGACGGUACCCAAGAAGGAAGCCACGGCUAACUACGUGCCAGCAGCCGCGGUAAUACGUAGGUGGCAAGCGUUGUCCGGAAUUAUUGGGCGUAAAGCGCGCGCAGGUGGGGUCUUAAGUCCAUUUUGAAAGUUCGGAGCUCAACUCCGUGAGGGGAUGGAAACUGGGAUUCUUGAGUAUCGGAGAGGAAAGCGGAAUUCCCCGUGUAGCGGUGAAAUGCGUAGAUAUGGGGAGGAACACCAGUGGCGAAGGCGGCUUUCUGGACGAUGUCUGACACUGAGGCGCGAAAGCCAGGGGAGCGAACG